This 69-nucleotide transfer RNA is filed under the name Caerostris extrusa. RNAcentral describes it as "tRNA-Trp". It matches the Rfam family "tRNA". Rfam says of the family: Transfer RNA (tRNA) molecules are approximately 80 nucleotides in length. Their secondary structure includes four short double-helical elements and three loops (D, anti-codon, and T loops). Lineage: Eukaryota; Metazoa; Arthropoda; Arachnida; Araneae; Araneidae. The record is from RNAcentral.
GACCCGGUGGCGCAACGGUAGCGCGUCUGACUCCAGAUCAGAAGGUUGUGUUCAAAUCACGUCGGGUCA